Long non-coding RNA from Egretta garzetta (little egret), 145 nucleotides. RefSeq lists it as uncharacterized. Lineage: Eukaryota; Metazoa; Chordata; Aves; Pelecaniformes; Ardeidae. The record is from RefSeq and is a predicted model, not a curated record. The transcript has 3 exons.
CAACACAGUCUCCCACAAUAUUCUCCUAGAGAAGCUGGCAGUUCAUGGCCGAGACGGGUGUACUCUUUGCUUGGUAAAAAACUGGAUGGAUGGCCGAGCCCAGAGAGUUGUGGUGAAUGGAGUUAAAUCCAGGUGGCAGCCGGUC